UAAGGUCACGGCGAGACGAGCCGUUAGGUGAUAGGUGUCAAGUGGAAGUGCAGUGAUGCAUGCAGCCGAGACAUACUAAGAGACCGAAAGAUUUGAAC
Molecule: ribosomal RNA, 98 nt
Filed under: Libocedrus plumosa
Lineage: Eukaryota; Viridiplantae; Streptophyta; Pinopsida; Cupressales; Cupressaceae
Also listed under: 1 other name
Description: 4.5S ribosomal RNA
Source: RNAcentral